Molecule: transfer RNA, 73 nt
Filed under: Beutenbergia cavernae DSM 12333
Lineage: Bacteria; Bacillati; Actinomycetota; Actinomycetes; Micrococcales; Beutenbergiaceae
Also listed under: 2 other names
Description: tRNA-Arg (CCG) (tRNA-Arg-CCG-1-1)
Rfam family: tRNA
About the family: Transfer RNA (tRNA) molecules are approximately 80 nucleotides in length. Their secondary structure includes four short double-helical elements and three loops (D, anti-codon, and T loops).
Source: Rfam by way of RNAcentral
GCCCCUGUAGCUCAGUGGAUAGAGCGUCUGCCUCCGGAGCAGAAGGUCGCUGGUUCGAAUCCAGUCGGGGGUA